GGGGGUGAUUGGUCUCGACAGCGGCUGUCGAGUGAGGUGAAGCGGGCCGAGGAAGGCAACGAUGAUCUCGUUAACCAUCCGUUGCAAAAAAAUCAAGCGCCGACAACAGUCAGCGCGAGUUCGCCCUCGCCGCCUGAGCGAGUAGCGACUCCGUCAGUCCGGGUGUUCCUCCGACCCGGAUACUGGCGCCGUUAAGGAGGAUUACCUGACGAUCCGGUAACGGGAUCCGAUGGGACAACAAACAGUUACUGGGCCUGUCACACCAGCACGUUCGCAUGACUGGUGGGGUCAAGUAGAGACAACGCGAGCUGCGCCCGGAGAAGCCCUCACAACACAACGUUGGACGCGGGUUCGAUUCCCGCCACCUCCACAG
Non-coding RNA from Nakamurella panacisegetis, 373 nucleotides. It matches the Rfam family "transfer-messenger RNA". From Rfam's summary of the family: Bacterial tmRNA, also known as 10Sa RNA or SsrA, is named for its dual tRNA and mRNA-like properties. NCBI's taxonomy places the organism in Bacteria, Bacillati, Actinomycetota, Actinomycetes, Nakamurellales, Nakamurellaceae. The record is from Rfam.